CCAAUAGCGUAUAUUAAAGUUGCUGCAGUUAAAAAGCUCGUAGUUGAAUUUCGGGACUAAUAUGUCGGUCGUGCCUCUGGUACGUACUGGUUUUAUUGGUUCCUCCCUUCUGACGAAACAUGAUGUCAUUAAUUUGGUGUCGUGGAGAAUCAGGACUGUUACCUUGAAAAAAUUAGAGUGUUUAUAGCAGGCUAACGCUUGAAUACAUUAGCAUGGAAUAAUGAAAUAGGACGUUCGACCCUAUUUUGUUGGUUUCUAGGAUCGACGUAAUGAUUAAUAGGGAUAGUUGGGGGCAUUAGUAUUCAAUUGUCAGAGGUGAAAUUCUUGGAUUUAUUGAAGACUAACUACUGCGAAAGCAUUUGCCAAGGAUGUUUUCAUUAAUCAAGAACGAAAGUUAGGGGAUCGAAGACGAUCAGAUACCGUCGUAGUCUUAACCAUAAACUAUGCCGACUAGGGAUCGGAUGAUGUUAAUUUUUUAAUGACUCAUUCGGCGCCUUACG
This 500-nucleotide ribosomal RNA is filed under the name uncultured Glomeromycotina. RNAcentral describes it as "SSU rRNA". It matches the Rfam family "Eukaryotic small subunit ribosomal RNA", at positions 591 to 1092 of the family's 1831-position model. The record is from RNAcentral. Lineage: Eukaryota; Fungi; Glomeromycota.